Molecule: non-coding RNA, 73 nt
Organism: Stegodyphus mimosarum
Lineage: Eukaryota; Metazoa; Arthropoda; Arachnida; Araneae; Eresidae
Source: Rfam
GCCUUCGUGGUGUAAUGGCCAGCACACUGAGCCGGUAUUUCAGAGGUCCGUGGUUCGAUUCCCGGCGAAGGAA